AAACAACCUCUCAAUAACAAUAAAAAAAACAACACCAGUGCAAGACCUAUCCACUUUCUUACCCUCCUUCUCGCAGCCUCCAUUUGUGUUUCGAUCUUUUCAAUUCGCCUAAGAAGACCAUAAAUGAUUUGGCUGGCUCUAUAUGGGAAUGGAUCAUUGUACCAUUGGAAAAACCCACAGUAGUUUGACUUCUGAAAAAAAAAAUUACAAAUCAAUACGAACCCAUUUCCUAUAACAAAUCAUUUUAUGGAAAUGUAGUAUACAUAUCCCACAAUUCCUGCAUCCAAAGAAGUGUCUCCCUGGAUUAGCUGAAGACCACAAGGUACGUAAAUCCCCCUCAAUAUUACACGAGCAUUUUAGUUGAACCCUUUCUGUCGAGCUCCCUUCACUGAUUUCAGACAUUAUUGAUGAAUCCUCGACUAUUCUUCAGGCUAACCUCUGUUGAAUCCCUCCUCACGAAAAGGUGAGGAUAUGGUUAU
Molecule: unclassified non-coding RNA, 479 nt
Filed under: Hevea brasiliensis (rubber tree)
Lineage: Eukaryota; Viridiplantae; Streptophyta; Magnoliopsida; Malpighiales; Euphorbiaceae
Source: RNAcentral